Cinara cedri is the source of this 472-nucleotide non-coding RNA. Lineage: Eukaryota; Metazoa; Arthropoda; Insecta; Hemiptera; Aphididae. The record is from the annotation of a GenBank genome assembly.
UUUGUGGAGGGGGCACUUGUCAUUUUUAUAUGAGUUACCGUAUUUUGUUGAAUGAAAAAAUUCACCGAAAUAACCAAUAAACAAAAAUAGGAGGAGGGCACUGCCUGUAUAAAAUAGUUUUGAAAAUAAUUAAUGAAAUAUUUUUCUUGACAAACGAGUAUAAACUUAUAAUUUUGAACUAUAUUCAUUCAAUACCAUAAAUACACUCUAUCGGAUCACAUUCACAGCAACGAUUUAAUUUGGUAAGUUGUUGACCAGCAUUUGUUUUGGCAUCAAUUGUGAACUUCACAAGUGACGGGUACUCACACGUACCCAUUACUCGUCUAAUCGUGUUUAUUCAUUUUAAAAUAAAUGAAAGGUAAUUGUUUAUUUCAGUUAUGGUAUUUUUUAUUAUUGUUUUCAAUAUAAAACAUAAACUUAGAACUUAUUUUUUAUAAAAAAAUAUGCAUUUUAUAUUAUAUUAUAUCAACUG